RNAcentral lists this ribosomal RNA (388 nucleotides) under Theileria annulata. Its description in RNAcentral is "SSU rRNA". It matches the Rfam family "Eukaryotic small subunit ribosomal RNA", at positions 499 to 924 of the family's 1831-position model. Lineage: Eukaryota; Apicomplexa; Aconoidasida; Piroplasmida; Theileriidae. The record is from RNAcentral.
AGUCUUGUAAUUGGAAUGAUGGGAAUUUAAACCUCUUCCAGAGUAUCAAUUGGAGGGCAAGUCUGGUGCCAGCAGCCGCGGUAAUUCCAGCUCCAAUAGCGUAUAUUAAAAUUGUUGCAGUUAAAAAGCUCGUAGUUGAAUUUUUGCUGCAUUGCUUGUGUCCCUCUGGGGUCUGUGCAUGUGGCUUUUUUCGGACGGAGUUUCUUUGUCUGAAUGUUUACUUUGAGAAAAUUAGAGUGCUCAAAGCAGGCUUUCGCCUUGAAUAGUUUAGCAUGGAAUAAUAAAGUAGGACUUUGGUUCUAUUUUGUUGGUUUUAGGUACCAAAGUAAUGGUUAAUAGGAACAGUUGGGGGCAUUCGUAUUUAACUGUCAGAGGUGAAAUUCUUAGA